UCUUCCUACGGGAGGCAGCAGUAGGGAAUCUUCCACAAUGGGCGAAAGCCUGAUGGAGCAACGCCGCGUGGGUGAAGAAGGUCGUCGGAUCGUAAAAGCCUGUUGUUAGAGAAGAAAGUGCGUGAGAGUAACUGUUCACGUUUCGACGGUAUCUAACCAGAAAGCCACGGCUAACUACGUGCCAGCAGCCGCGGUAAUACGUAGGCGGCAAGCGUUAUCCGGAUUUAUUGGGCGUAAAGGGAACGCAGGCGGUCUUUUAAGUCUGAUGAGAAAGCCUUCGGCUUAACCGGAGUAGUGC
RNAcentral lists this ribosomal RNA (298 nucleotides) under uncultured bacterium. Its description in RNAcentral is "partial 16S ribosomal RNA". It matches the Rfam family "Bacterial small subunit ribosomal RNA", at positions 334 to 624 of the family's 1533-position model. The record is from RNAcentral.